UGGCGACCGGCGCACGGGUGAGUAACACGUAUCCAACCUGCCGUCUACUCUUGGACAGCCUUCCGAAAGGAAGAUUAAUACAAGAUGGCAUCAUGAGUCCGCAUGUUCACAUGAUUAAAGGUAUUCCGGUAGACGAUGGGGAUGCGUUCCAUUAGUUUGUUGGCGGGGUAACGGCCCACCUAGUCUUCGAUGGAUAGGGGUUCUGAGAGGAAGGUCCCCCACAUUGGAACUGAGACACGGUCCAAACUCCUACGGGAGGCAGCAUG
This 266-nucleotide ribosomal RNA is filed under the name uncultured bacterium. Its description in RNAcentral is "partial 16S ribosomal RNA". It matches the Rfam family "Bacterial small subunit ribosomal RNA", at positions 89 to 353 of the family's 1533-position model. The record is from RNAcentral.